Molecule: ribosomal RNA, 245 nt
Filed under: uncultured bacterium
Lineage: Bacteria
Description: partial 16S ribosomal RNA
Rfam family: Bacterial small subunit ribosomal RNA
Source: RNAcentral
UACGGGGGGGGGCAAGCGUUGUUCGGAAUUACUGGGCGUAAAGCGCACGUAGGCGGCUUUGCAAGUCAGAGGUGAAAGCCUGUGGCUCAACCACAGAAUUGCCUUCGAUACUGUUUGGCUUGAGACCGGAAGAGGUUAGUGGAACUGCGAGUGUAGAGGUGAAAUUCGUAGAUAUUCGCAAGAACACCAGUGGCGAAGGCGGCUCACUGGCCCGAUACUGACGCUGGACGGCACGAAAGCGUGGG